Molecule: long non-coding RNA, 1556 nt
Organism: Manihot esculenta (cassava)
Lineage: Eukaryota; Viridiplantae; Streptophyta; Magnoliopsida; Malpighiales; Euphorbiaceae
Exons: 5
Source: RefSeq, a predicted model, not a curated record
UCCCCAGUCCUGAUAUCUGGAAUCGGUCUUUCCUUCAUCGAUGCCUCAACUCCUCUCUUACUCAAUAUCUACUCAAAUGAUAUCCACAUUAUCAUCCUCAGCGAAAACUCAAGACUGCAACGAUUUCAAGGAGUGAAAACACCAUUCAAGAUUUUUGAACCCAGCUCCUGUCGGUGGCUGACUAGGGAGGCACUCCCAUGCGAAUCGACCAGAUUAUUCGGUUCGGACUUCGGAUAUGGCUCGUGUCGGUACUUAAUUCGAGUCGGAUUAUAGACUUCUUGUCGCUUCGUCCGCGACGGAGAAAUUAUCAGUGCCAUCAGAGCAAGCAAAUUGUGCAACGUGGCCUAACUUGGCCUCUGAGCGUGUGAAAAGGCCCAACUUGGCCUGCUCCCAAAUUCUGGCAAUCCUGCCACGUGUCCUCCGAUUCAAGCUCCUCUUCUGUCCCCUUCCCGAUUCGGCCAUUCCCGCCAUUAUCUCUCUCCCUCUCGUCUCCCUCACCUAAUCGAACUUCCUCUAAUACGACCUUUCUGCAUUUCUAUGAGCUAUACAUUGAUCCUUCUUCGGAGAAUUGGCUCUCUUUCGUGUUAUGGUAAGUAAAUUAGAGCGGUGGCUAGAAUAUUUGAUUCGACGAAGAUAACCCCUGGAAUUUUGCUUAUACGAAGCAUAAGCGCAGAGAUUGGAGAAUGGAAACAGAAGACCUGUAGUGGUAUCUCAAAGGUUAUGAUGAUCGCUGGCUUAUUUGUAAAUGGGCCAUAUGCACUCAUCGCAACUGCAGUUUCUGCUGACCUGGGUGCACACAGUUGUCAGAGAGGGGAUUCUCGAGCAACCGUUAUUGCCAUUGUUGAUGGCUUCUUUUAUCAUGUGAAGUCGCAGCUGAAAUUGCUAAGAAAACUAGUAAACUGAGGCCUCAUCUAGUGAAUGACAAAUUCAUGAAGGUAUGAAUGAGACAGACAGACACACAGAGACACAGAUAGAAACAAAAUGCUCUUGGGAAAUUUCUGGUGUUAUGAUUUCAACCAGGAAGACUAUAAUGUUUUGCAAGGUUUUUCAGAGCUUAUAAGGGCUUUUAAGCAUUCAUAACAAUUACGUCUAGGGCCAAUUCUGAAAGUCAGAAAGUAAAAGUAAAUUAAUUGGGACAUAAAAGGAAAUUCAUUGGGACAUUCAUCUAUCCUUUUGCCUCCCCUCCCCAAAAUAAAAGGUGCAAGAAAGAGAUGAUUGAUUUUACAAGAAAGCCCAAGUCCUAAGCAAAAUUUUAGUAACAUCAACAGACUUCAAUGUCAGUCCAACGAUCAGGGCGUUUUCAAGGCAAGCUGUAACAAGCUGUUUUGUGGGAAGCCAUAAUAGUGUUUCUCAUGUGAGAGAAUUAAAGAAGAAUUGAUGUCCCCUCAAAGCCUUCCACAGCCACAUGUGGAAAGUCUAUGAUUGCUUUGUUAAUUGGAAAUUGUAGGCCAAUCAAUGGGACUAACAUCACUCCUCUAAAUAUGAUAGUUUUGCUUUUUCCAAUUAGGAUGGGACCUACUCUUUGAUUUAUUUAUGUAUCCCAUUUUUUUAAAAUU